UGUCCAGACUCCUACAGGAGGCAGCAGUGAGGAAUAUUGGUCAAUGGACGCAAGUCUGAACCAGCCAAGUAGCGUGCAGGAUGACGGCCCUCCGGGUUGUAAACUGCUUUUAGUUGGGAAUAAAAGGGGGCUCGUGAGCCCCGUAUUGUAUGUACCAUCAGAAAAAGGACCGGCUAAUUCCGUGCCAGCAGCCGCGGUAAUACGGAAGGUCCGGGCGUUAUCCGGAUUUAUUGGGUUUAAAGGGAGCGUAGGCCGGCUUUUAAGUCAGCUGUGAAAGUCCGCGGCUCAACUGCGGAACGGCUUUGGAAACUGAGUAACUGGAGUGCUGGAGGGGCAGGCGGAAUUCCUGGUGUAGCGGUGAAAUGCGUAGAUAUCAGGAGGAACACCGGUGGCGAAGGCGGCCUGCUGGACAGUAACUGACGUUGAGGCUCGAAAGCGUGGGGAGCAAACAGGAUUAGAUACCCGCGUAU
This 470-nucleotide ribosomal RNA is filed under the name uncultured bacterium. RNAcentral describes it as "bacterial SSU rRNA". It matches the Rfam family "Bacterial small subunit ribosomal RNA", at positions 328 to 793 of the family's 1533-position model. The record is from RNAcentral.